This 356-nucleotide unclassified non-coding RNA is filed under the name fungal sp. RNAcentral's name for it is "partial internal transcribed spacer region". The stretch from base 1 to 46 matches the Rfam family "Eukaryotic small subunit ribosomal RNA", at positions 1786 to 1831 of the family's 1831-position model. Lineage: Eukaryota; Fungi. The record is from RNAcentral.
AAGUCGUAACAAGGUAACCGUAGGUGAACCUGCGGUUGGAUCAUUACUGAAUAUAUAAUUUUUUAAUUUAGUUUGGCUUUAUUCUAUAAUAAGAGUAAUUCCACUAAUUAAAAAUAUUACACCCCACUUGUGAACUGUUUACCGUAACCUUUUUUUUAUUGUUUGGCAGCCCACCUAUUUCUUUUUGUUUAGGCAAAAAAAAAAGUGAAAGGGUUUUUUUUUAAAAUCUGGGGCUGUCGAAAACAUUAAAAAAAAAAAUUAUAUACAAACUCGUUUUUUUAUAUCUAUUUGGAGUCUAUUUUCUAAUUAUAACAAUAAUUAAAAAACAACUUUUGACAACGGAUCUCUUGGCUCUC